RNAcentral lists this ribosomal RNA (253 nucleotides) under uncultured bacterium. RNAcentral describes it as "partial 16S ribosomal RNA". It matches the Rfam family "Bacterial small subunit ribosomal RNA", at positions 524 to 776 of the family's 1533-position model. The record is from RNAcentral.
UACGUAGGUUGCAAGCGUUAUCCGGAAUUAUUGGGCGUAAAGAGCUCGUAGGCGGUUUGUCGCGUCUGCUGUGAAAACUGGAGGCUCAACCUCCAGCCUGCAGUGGGUACGGGCAGACUAGAGUGCGGUAGGGGAGAUUGGAAUUCCUGGUGUAGCGGUGAAAUGCGUAGAUAUCAAGUGGAACACCAGUGGCGAAGGCGAAUCCCUGGAAAAUACCUGACACUGAGGCACGAAAGCUAGGGGAGCAAACAGG